RNAcentral lists this small RNA (3760 nucleotides) under Rattus norvegicus (Norway rat). RNAcentral's name for it is "uncharacterized LOC103693350". Lineage: Eukaryota; Metazoa; Chordata; Mammalia; Rodentia; Muridae. The record is from RNAcentral.
AGACUGUGUCCCUGGAAUCAGAAAGAGGAAAGUAACCUUUCUACCUGCCCACCUUGAAGUUAGAAACUUCUGGAGAGUGGAAGAGGUGCUGGUUGGUACAGAGGUAAGGAGCCCGCAAACUCGAGAGGAGAGGUCACUGGAGGCAAAGGUUUGCUUGUUUUAAAUAGCAUGUCCACUUGGAGCAGUAUGGAGGGGUCCGGGGUAGACUGGGGUCUAUUGGGGUCCAGUUGAAAUGUCCUGGGUGAGAUGGGGAGAAGAGAAAAAGGCGAGAGGUGGACAUUGGGCUUUGUUCAUAGGCUGUGGCAAAUGGCUCUAACAUCCAACUGAGGUGCCUGCAAGAUUGACAGGCACAGCUGCUGACCUCAGGAGAGUCUCCCGGGGACCAGUGUGGUCAUAGAGCAGUUUCGUCUAUCAGGCCUAGCUACAGCCCAACCCCCAUUACCACCCGGAUCUAAACCCAUCUGAAACCAUUGCUACGAAGAUUCUAUUGCUGACUGUGCUCCGACAUGCUCCCACAAAUAAAAUGUACUUCUUGGCACAGGACUGCAUUCCUGAACAUACCUUUUUGGGGUUCAAGCAGCAAGCAUUACAGGGCUUUAAACACUCGAUAAAGUAUAUUCCCAGACAUUUCACAGGUAUCCUAUAUCUAUAUAUGAAGAUAAAACAUUCAUUUUUAUACUCUUUAUUGAAAGGUGCACGGAUAACCACAAGUAAACACAUAAAAUAAUAAGGAUGAAUUUUCACCAACUAAAAAUAUCCAGCUCAUCAGCAGCCAGAUCAAAACAAGAACACUGCCCAUUCUCCAGAAGCCCCUUAAGCACAUUGAAGCUUAACACAGUUUUGAAAUAAGGCUACCAAAAAAAAUACAAUCUUUCUCUGACAUAACAUGAUAGUAAUUUUGCAGUGAGCUGUUAACUUGGGUCUGGUAUUCCACCAUUGGCAGGCUUCCGUUUCCCUUUUGCUCCUAAAAACCAAAUCUUUAAGCAAAACUCCCAACUCUUCCCUCAUGAUCAUUUGCGUCUUUAGGCCCGUCAGCAGAUUCUGUUAAAUGAACUGGCAAAUUGGUGAGGAGCAGAGGAUAUGAAUCUGUAUUAAGCAGCAGUGAGUAGGCAGAGAAGUUGAAUAUCAUGUAGCAAAUAAGUGGGACUGUCCCUCAGUCAUUUGACUCAGGAUUCUAAGCACACACCCCAGGCAGUGCUAGCCUCUUAACAGCUUCCUAUUGGGUGUUGCUUUGUAAAGGUGAUUAUCAUAGAAGUUGUUUGUUCUUUUUCUUUGGUUUUUCUUCAUCUUCAUUUAUACUGAUAGUGUCAGAUCUUCUAUAGGACACUUUUAUAGGACACUGAUGUAUUUGUCUCACUCUUCUAAUUAUACUUCCAUAGCAAUGCAGAUCUAAUAUCUUCUUGUAUACAUAUGCAUACAUAGACUCAAACAGCAUGUGCAUGUCUAUAUAGAUAGGAUUUGAACUGAGAGAGGCAUGUGACCUUAGGAGUAGCAAGUGUAUUUUUAAACAUGAGUGGAGAUCUAUGGUUUUCUGACUUUGUUUUGUUUUGUUUCUUCUGGAACAGGGAAGAAGCCAUUGCAGAUGGGAGUGGGUGAGCACAGGGCUGGGAAGGGGAUCCCAGGGCAAAAGGAUGUGAGCUUGAAAGACGGUGGAAGUUGCUCCCGUUGCCAUGGCUUAUUAACUAAGAGGCAGAUGGUCCAAUGCGAGAUGGGAGGGGGAUACUCCUCCAACACCCCUGGGCUCCUUGCUUCUUCCCAACUUCUGCUGGGGGAAGAAAAGUGAUUUCUAUUGGCUUGCCUGCUUCCAGGUGACCCAGCAUUUCCUGCUACCGAUGACCAAGCAUCGUCUCCUGGAGUCACGUGUCGGUCCUUCAGUGUCCAUGCUCACUCCACCAUGUGUCUAUCAGAGAGAGCAAACACUGGUGUCUUUUCCUGGGCGUGACCUGCAGCCAAGGAAGCCUGCCGAGAGGCAACCCUUAAGGCUUUCCGUUGUGAAUGCAAAGGAGCCUGGAGCUCUUCAUGCUGGGUCCAACAGAGGGUACCUGGCUCUCCAAAACGAUCGCCCACUGGUUUAGACAGUGUUCAGUUCUGCCAGCUCCUGAUUCGACAGAAUCUUACUCUCUGGUCAAGUCAUCUUCCAUUCAUGAUCCUCCUGCCUGUGCUCUCAAGCUCUGGGACACCAGGCAUGCAGCACCAUCACAGCUGUCCCAUUUCUUACAGAAGAUGCAUAACCAAUGCCUCCGCUAAUUCAAGUGGUCAGCCCUGGUGACGUCACUCCCUCUGUUCGCGCUUGCAGCCAUUUAUGCUAACAAUUCUGAUCCUGGAAGAUACUCUGCAUGGUCCCAGAAGAGAAAUAUUCAUCAUUGUCACCCAGCUACAAACCCUGCAGCCUAUGACAGUCACCUGCCUGCAGAUACACUGGAGCAAUAGUGACACAAAUGUUAUGGGAGUCACCAACCACUUUCUGAUUGGAUUUAAGGCCUGAUUGGAUUGGAGAUGGAACCCAUAAUGGACGCUGUUAAAAUGGCUAAGAACCUGAGAGUGGGGAGGUCAUGAGCCUAGGGGAAAAACCUACCACUGUGAUCCUGCUAAAGAAGUGCAGCAGAUUGUGAGUAAGCGUACAAACGAAGACAGUAACUCCAGAAGUGCGGAGAACGAAGUCAAGGGAUGUGCUGAAUGUGGGAAGGUGACACUGGUGAGGAAGGAAUCAGGUUGCCAUCUAUGGAGUAGAGCAUGGCAGUCGUGAAGACAUCAGGGGAGAGACCGCUCCAGCAGCAAAUGCAAGGAUGCUAGGUAGGCACUCAGCAUGUGUGUGGCCAUGAGUUUCCCAGGGAGCAAAAGGUUUUCUAAAAGAUGUCCCUCUGUCCUGCAGCACCAAGUGCCUAACAAGGGCAUCAGCUGCUUAGUCCUAAGACUCUCUCCCAUGAGGAGUCUGUCCACCUUCCUGGGACUGGCACAGUGUAGGGCACCUAUUAGGAACUAAGACUGAGGAAGGAAGGAAUGGGUUCUUGCGAGUAGCUCCCAGCCCAUUCAUGAACCUAAACUCAUGACUAAGCUUGAUUUCUGUGUGGCAGUGUUUACUGGCACAACCUUGUUAUUUUAAUCAACCUGAAGCAUUGGGCUCGUCCAUGGCUUGGGAUAGCCGGUGUAGAACUGGUUUUCGAUUAAUUGGAAAGGCCCUUUUAGCCCCAUGGGACACAUCCAGAAGGGCUAUUAUUUGCAUCAACGUAGUGACCCCUCCCCCUUCCAGUUGCAUGUCUGAAUGAAAGUCUUUCCUUGGUGAUCGUCACCAAGCUCAGUGUUGCGACAAACAUUCCUUGGACCAUUUUUUGUUAAAAAAAAAAAUGGAAUUUACAACAUGGAGUUUACACUUAAGGCUAAGGGCUUGCCAAUGGGCUGACCCCUGGGUCUGACCUCACUUUGGCUUUUAAUUUUGUCUUGGGUAACGUGCCUUCUGUUCGAUGACCAUGAGCCGCAGAGUCUGCGAGUAGACUCUAAAUUUAUGUUAUCCACUAAGCUCGAUCUGUGCUGUAGGUACUUUGAGCAUCCAACACGCACUAAGAAUCAUGAUGUCAGUACCUACGGCGAAGCAGGGAGGACCCGGCAAAAGCAAACAGCUACGCUUCCACAGAACCUAUGGAAGGCCGGUUAAGAAUGCCAAUAUGGACGUGGGGAGGCUUGAGGCUCUCGGAGUGUGGCAUGAUCAUAGCGAUGGGAGAAAGGUCACUCCAGGUUGAAAAAGUCUUCCACUGGGUGUGGA